Molecule: long non-coding RNA, 456 nt
Filed under: Mytilus galloprovincialis (Mediterranean mussel)
Lineage: Eukaryota; Metazoa; Mollusca; Bivalvia; Mytilida; Mytilidae
Source: RNAcentral
CAGACGAGAGGAUGACAUUCAAAAAAAUUGUUACCCGCUCAGCCAUGUGAUAUGGCAUUUUAAUAUGAAGUAUAAUAAAAUAAAUUGUCACCCUCGUAUUAACCAAUCAAAAUAUUGCAUUUUAAUGUAUUUUAAGUAUAAUACAAUGUCACACUGUCAAAUGAUAUAUUGACUGAGGGACAUACUUCUUGUAUACUAGAAUUUGUUUCAUCCGAGAUAGUGUCAAAACAAGACAAAUAAUACCAAAUUCAUCACAUUUCCUAAUAUAAUAUGCUGUUGUCAACGAGACAAUCUAUCGACGAGAUUUAAAAUGAAGUGGUAGAAAGCAAAUAUUGGUCACCGUACAAUUAUAAUAAAAUGGAACUUGAAAUAUCUUCCACCCAAAAACAAAACAUAACACAAUUUUCAAUUAACAUUUAUUUGCAUACUGCAUACCAUACAUAAUUUAAACAUCUC